Rhopilema esculentum is the source of this 393-nucleotide non-coding RNA. NCBI's taxonomy places the organism in Eukaryota, Metazoa, Cnidaria, Scyphozoa, Rhizostomeae, Rhizostomatidae. The record is from RefSeq and is a predicted model, not a curated record.
GGUUAUUGACUCGCCUUGCAUUGCGCUGUGUUGGGGCAGUUUUCUAUCGUUUACAUGCAGUUUUUGGCCUGGUAGUUUCUACAUGCUGUGUUUGGCCGUCGUGCAAAAUUUUUAUGGCUACGAGGACUAAUAGAUUGUUUCCAACGACACCAAGUCAUCGAUGCCAUGUGUUCCAAAAUUCUGGCAUCUUUUGGACGAACUGAUCAGGAAGAUUGAAAAAAUUGUUUAAUGAAGAUAAGAUCUACCUGAGAGUGAAUUAACCAGACUGUCAGUGAAAGAACUGGUGACGACUACGUGAAGCAAACAUAUACCUGGAGAACGGUCUGCAUGAUUUACAGCAAUACUCAAGAAGGAACAACCUCGAACUAUCUGGGUUCGCAGAAUGUAGGGACA